AGUGUUUAACGGCCGGUCAGGAACCCAACAAUUAGUCCCUUCUCGUCCGAGAGGAAACUCUGUGAGAAGAUGGGACCGUGAGCACUCUCUUUAACAAGGACAUUUCCUUUUCAGCGAAAGCAGCGCUCUGAUUUACCAAGUCUGGCGGACCGCAGCGCUUUAAAGGAAUGAGGUUCCAGCGGUCGCGCCAAGCAGCGUACGCAGCCUAUUUUAAGUUAUGCUACCUUCGCCACAGAAACCAAGAACGUUGUAAUGGUCCGGCAAGUGCCCACGUAUAAUUGUUCUCCAUCACUUACCCACUCUAGUUCGGGAACACCCUUGUCGCCGCCGUUCCGGUAACACCUCUCCAACGCUUUCGAUGCUUCUACUUCUUCGGGAACAAGACAAGAUGGCGCCCGAUUUGUCUCACCCGGAAGUAAAGAAUAAUAACAUCCGUUUGUCAUCUGAAGCCAUACCAUCUCUCAUCCAGGUUUGUGAACACGUGAUUGUGCGGAUUGACAUGUUUCGGCGCCAUUUUUUUUGUGGGCAAAACCAUCUCUACUCUGGUCAACACCGGGCAACUGAACCAUUCCUGCACGUUACUUUUUAACGUAGCUGGCGCCAUUCCCGACCCAUCUUUAUAGUGGCCAGAAAGCCAAGAACGUAAGUGUUCUACACAUAGGGCGCCUUCAAAUUUUUUACUUUAGCAACGUGAUCUUCCUUUAAGGGGAAGUAUGUUCCCUCCUAGAAACACUCCCGCCUUGGAGAAGGGGUUGAGUUCGCAACUCCACUUACAGACUACGGAGGAACCCCAGGGUCAAACCAAACCAAACCAAUUCUGGCCAGUUGCUUAGCGCAGUUCAAGUUACUUAGUGCGCUGGAAGCGGCAUUUCAGGCAAUCCAACUUCUGGCUCGAACCUUCUCGGAGUAUUCCAAGGAUGGAAUACUCUCACUUGAGCGCUGCCGAGGGUGCCGCUUGAGGAAAACGUGAGUUUGUGAAGAAUGUUUGUUGCAGAUACAGUUCCACCACUGUACAUUAAGUAUGUGGAAAACAGAAGAUAUCCUUUUGGUUCCUGGGUCUCCAGAACAGUAGGAGCAAACAUCCAAAUCUGAUAUAGCACUUCCAGAGAGCCUGGUCUUGGAGGAUAAAACUUUACCUUGAUGGGACUUUUGGCCCCGGUCCCUUAAGAGUUGGGAUUUGGGGUUGUACUGCAGCACAACUCAGCCUAUCCUAAUACAUAUGGGAAUGCAAACAUCUCAGAUAUUUCUUCUUGGGUGCAAUUUAAAAUACGUAUGAAAUGGCUUCAGAAGUGUCCAUGAACCUUCAAAAUUACAUACAAGAAUUAGGGAGAUACAUUUUUCUGGGAACAUACAGAUGUUAAGACUUCCCUUCUCCGUCUCUAUAUUGCCAGAAGAGAGGGCCCCAGAAUUAAAACCCCAUCCUUCCUACAACACUCAGCUUUCUCUUUCAGGAAUAUCAGUACUAAUAUCACCAUGCCUUUUAUCUCUAGGAUAUCUUCAUCCCCUGUACCUUAAUUUCUGCAUGACUUCAUAGGGAGUCCAUAUUGCUUGAUUUUUCUCCAUAUCAUUACCAUUGACAUAAAUUUUCCUUACAUUCUUAGAAUGUGUAUUUCCUCACCUUUUAGAUUUCUGGCUCUUAUG
This 1641-nucleotide long non-coding RNA is filed under the name Homo sapiens (human). RNAcentral's name for it is "non-protein coding lnc-TSTD3-2:3". Lineage: Eukaryota; Metazoa; Chordata; Mammalia; Primates; Hominidae. The record is from RNAcentral.